AGCUUCGCUAGGAGGCGUCGAGCGGCGGCGUGAGUAAUGCAUGGGAAUCUGCCCGAUAGUGGGGGAGAACCUGGGGAAACUCAGGCUAAUACCGCAUACGCCCUAGGGGGGGAGAGUUGGGGAUCUUCGGACCUGACGCUAUUAGAUGAGCCCGCGUUAGAUUAGCUUGUUGGUGGGGUAAUGGCCUACAAGGCAACGAUCUAUAGCUGGUCUGAGAGGACGAUCAGCCAACUGGGACUGAGACACGGCCAGACUCCUAGGGGAGGCAGCAGUGGGGAAUAUUGCACAAUGGGCGCAAGCCUGAUGCAGCAGGUACCGCGUGUGUGAAGAAGGCCUGAGGGGUUGUAAAGCACUUCAAUUGUGAGGGAAAAGCUUUUGGUUAAUAACCUUGAGUCUUGACGUUUAGCAAUACAAGAAGGCACCGGCUAACUCCGUGCCAGCAGCCGCGGUAAUACGGAGGGUGCAAGCGUUAAUCGGGAAUUACUGGGCGUAAAGCGUACGUAGGCGGUUUACUAAGUCAGAUGUGAAAGCCCCGGGCUUAACCUGGGAACUGCAUUUGAUACUGGUAGGCUAGAGUAUGGUAGAGGGGGGUAGAAUUCAUAGUGUAGCGGUGCAAUGCGUAGAUAUUAUGAGGAAUACCAGUGGCGAAGGCGGCCCCCUGGACCAAUACUGACUGAGGUACGAAAGCGUGGGUAGCGAACAGGAGUUAGAUACCCGUGGUAGUCCACGCCCGUAAACGAUGUCAACUAGCCGUUGGGACCUUGAGGUCUCAGUGGUGCAGCUAACGCUAAGUUGACCGCCUGGGGAGUACGGCCGCAAGGCUAAAACUCAAAUGAAUUGAGACGC
Molecule: ribosomal RNA, 846 nt
Filed under: uncultured bacterium
Lineage: Bacteria
Description: bacterial SSU rRNA
Rfam family: Bacterial small subunit ribosomal RNA
Source: RNAcentral